AAUAACGUCGAUAUGCAAGUCCAUGACAGACAUCUGGCAGGUCCAAGAAGCAGCCGCCAUCUUAGUUCACCUGUUGCUUACGUGGAACUUGCUCAGCCAAUCAUCAUGUAGCUCUCUCCGCUCUCGCCGCUCGACCAAUUGGCAUCAGUCAGUGAGCCUGCGGACUCCUAACGCAGCUGCUGAUUGGUUGUGGUGACACUUUCUUUUUAUCGUAUAGCUCGCGAAUCAAUUAGUUUUUUCGAAUAUUCGUGGAAGAUAUUUGUUUGUUGGCCUACAAAGGUCACCAAGUGUUGGCGUUGAAGGAAGCACGGCAGAAGCGGCGGCCCUGGAUGGUAUUUUGAGCGAGCGAGAGCAAAGAUGGAGGCUGCGGAUGCUGCCACCGACUGCUGGUGAGUCAGGCCGCUGUAAAUAUUCCCUUAACCUGCCAGAAUGGAUGGAUUUACACCCCGGCGACACCAGUGCACAGGACUGUAUGGCGCGGGUGUGACAAGCCAGCAGCAGGAUGGCGGGGAUUUAUGCGCUCCUCAAACAUUAAUGUGAGACUAAGGUGGACUUGUAUGGUGGUGCUGCCGCGACUCAUGGCUGCUCGUGGUUCAUGAGGACAUUAGAUGAACCGCCCGAUUCAAGUUAAACCGGCCGACAGUGAGAGUCGAGCAGGUAA
Homarus americanus (American lobster) is the source of this 661-nucleotide long non-coding RNA. RefSeq lists it as uncharacterized. The transcript is spliced from 3 exons. Lineage: Eukaryota; Metazoa; Arthropoda; Malacostraca; Decapoda; Nephropidae. The record is from RefSeq and is a predicted model, not a curated record.